ACUCCAUGGUGAGGACAAGAUCUAGUGUAAUCCUUCAAUCUUUCCCCAGCUUCAUAGAGAGCUUUGUUGGGGCCUUCUCUGAAACUCGUGAUAUCAUUCUUUAUCCU
Molecule: non-coding RNA, 107 nt
Organism: Arabis alpina (gray rockcress)
Lineage: Eukaryota; Viridiplantae; Streptophyta; Magnoliopsida; Brassicales; Brassicaceae
Source: Rfam